UUCAUGAUGAAACUGAUGAGGCUGAAUUGUAAAACUUGCUAAUAAGAAAACGAAUCCUUUGCCAGUGGGAACGGAAAAUAAAAUAGAAAGGCCAAGCCAGGAGGAAAUUCAACAGCAAAGCAAUCCUUCUCCCUCACUGUCCUGACAUAUUAGAAAGUUGAGAUAAGAAAUUACAAACACCAUCCUUGGACCAAACUUUCCCCUUUGCUCUGAGCAGCAAUGCAGAGGCCAGGAGAGCCCAUGGAGCUCUGGGCACUCAGCUCCUGGGCACAGGAAUGAGCAAGCCAUUCCUAAGCCCAGACUUGGGACGUGCAGCCAUCAUGGCGCUAAGACAGGGCCCCUCCCAGAGUGCUGCCUUGUGCUUUUUGGGAACUAACUCCCAUGGCCCCACUGUCCUCAGUCCCACGGCCAGGAAGUGACAGAAGUGAGACCCAAACACACCGCCAUAUCUGCUGGCCCUUCCCCCACCUGAACCCAAAACCCAGUCAAUGUGAGCUUGGUCUCCCACCACCUCCAACCAGGUGCUGAAGACCUGUGCCCAGGCUCCCACAGUUAUUGAGACUCUGUUCAACGCCUACCCUCAGCUCCGCGUGUCCGAGUCCUGGAGGGAAGUGAUUCCUGAGGAAGUAUUUCAGAUGCACCAGGCCUUCUACCAGUCUUUCUUCGCCUUGGCCCACACCCCACGCUGUCUGCAGCAUCUUGGCCGCUGCGCCAUUCGGAAAUUACUUGGCAAAAAGUGCUUUCACCUCGUACCCCUGUUACCCUUGCCAAAGUCCCUGCAAAAUUACCUCCUUUUGGAACCAGAGGGUGUUUUGCACUGAAAACCAGAGCGUUCAGACUAAGGCUCUAGCUCUCACCGCUGCUGUCCAUGGAGGCUGUGUGUUGAGGAGAGCACCACGGGCGAAGAGGGACAGACCCGGAUGGCACCUCCCACGUCCCCUGGCCAAUGCAGCGGCCUCACUGAGCUUCACUGUCACUUUGGAAUGGAACUGGUAAUAAAAGGCCUUUCUGCCUCUCUGGGUUGCUUAUGAGGAUCAAGACUGCAAAUAUCAUAGUAUUUGGAUCAGAAAGUAUUUUUCAACAGAAGUUGAACUAAAAGGUAUACAUAUUUUCCCUGCAAAGGGUUAACAGCAUCCAUGCUGCCCCUCAGCCUUCAGACUGCCUCAUAGGAGCGCCCCACCCUUCGUGAAGCCUGGCCACCUAGAAAGGCUCUGUCCCCAACACGUGACAACAUACUGAGAGAGGGCACCUGUUUCUGUACAAGUGUGCCCUUCUGGAGCCCACUGGUGCUUCUCAGCACAUUACAGCCCCAGAACUCCCUAAAGGACAUGGGAGAGGUGGCGAACCCAACAUUGUGAUCCCAUGUGAGUCUUCUAUCUGACACCCUCACCGAACCCCAACAGAUUCAGCUGCGGCCAAUGGUCCAGGAAGACAGAUGCCAGGAUAGACAGGUUCAUGGAGGUUGCCAUCAGCCUGAGCAUCACAUAACCAGAGAGACGUUCUAAGGGUCAAGGGUAUAAACCCUAUCUUUUAUUUUCUGUAUUCUGGUGCUUUGACAUCCGGGGCCUUGCUGACCCUGGAGGGGCUGCACCUCCCAGGGUCAGCCAAUUCCUAGAGACAGCUCACCCCCAAGCAUGCUUUUCAAAUGCAAACCAACCAGUCCAGAGGACACACCGCCCCCUUAAGCACCACCUUUACUGGGCUGUCACACUCUGGGCUACCUUCCACCAGGCCUAACUGUCCCAGGGCGAGGUGCCAGAGAGAUAGGGACAGCCUUUAUACCCCAGAGCCUGCUGAAAUUAUUCAGACCAGCUGAUCCUAGGCCUGUCUAUCCUGCCUGGCCUGUUCCAUCCAUGAAAACCACAAUAAAGGCUUCUGACCGCAUCCCCUCCCCCGACCUCCUGACCAACCCUGGUACGUCCCCAUGUGGCCCCCCGUGGUAUGAUAUGCCCCUUCUCUUGGGAAUGGUGAGUAAUAAACUAUCUUUUCCAUGGCAA
Non-coding RNA from Leptonychotes weddellii (Weddell seal), 1997 nucleotides. The record is from RefSeq and is a predicted model, not a curated record. Lineage: Eukaryota; Metazoa; Chordata; Mammalia; Carnivora; Phocidae.